GACGUAGGGGGCCAGCGUUGCUCGGAAUUACUGGGUGUAAAGGGUUCGUAGGCGGUGUGGCAAGUCGGGAGUGAAAUCUCUGGGCUCAACUCAGGGGCUGCUUCCGAAACUGCCGUGCUAGAGUGUGGGAGAGGCGCGUGGAAUUGCAGGUGUAGCGGUGAAAUGCGUAGAUAUCGAGAGGAACACCUGAGGUGAAGACGGGUUGCUGGGCUGAUACUGACGCUGAGGCGCGAAAGCUAGGGUAGCAAACGGG
RNAcentral lists this ribosomal RNA (253 nucleotides) under uncultured bacterium. Its description in RNAcentral is "partial 16S ribosomal RNA". It matches the Rfam family "Bacterial small subunit ribosomal RNA", at positions 524 to 776 of the family's 1533-position model. The record is from RNAcentral.